Molecule: RNA transcript, 9994 nt
Organism: Nannospalax galili (Upper Galilee mountains blind mole rat)
Lineage: Eukaryota; Metazoa; Chordata; Mammalia; Rodentia; Spalacidae
Gene: Kcnc1
Gene name: potassium voltage-gated channel subfamily C member 1
Exons: 4
Source: RefSeq, a predicted model, not a curated record
CCGCUCCCUUCCCCCCUCCCUGUCUCCCUCCCUUCUCUCCUCUGCCUCCUCCGCAGGCAGGACAGCUCCCUCCCACAUCUGGCGCCUGGAGACCCCGGACCCCCUGAGCACACCCCUGGACGCGCACCUGACCCGCAGCGCCCCUCGAGGGGCUCUGGUCGCUCGUUGGGGUGGGUGGCCGGAGCCGCGGUCCUCUGUACCCCCCCGACGGCUGGGGGGAGGGGGGAGGAGGCCGCGCGCCCCCCUCCCCGACACCAACUCCCCCUGGCGGCAGCUCCCAUGGGUGUCGCUGGGCCGCGCCAUGCCUAAGGGGGCGCCGCGAUGGGCCAAGGGGACGAGAGCGAGCGCAUCGUGAUCAACGUGGGCGGCACGCGCCACCAGACGUACCGCUCGACGCUGCGCACGCUGCCCGGCACGCGGCUCGCCUGGCUGGCCGAGCCCGAUGCCCACAGCCACUUCGACUAUGACCCGCGGGCAGACGAGUUCUUCUUCGACCGCCACCCGGGCGUCUUCGCUCACAUCCUGAACUACUACCGCACCGGCAAGCUGCACUGCCCGGCCGACGUGUGCGGGCCGCUGUACGAGGAGGAGCUGGCCUUCUGGGGCAUCGACGAGACGGACGUGGAGCCCUGCUGCUGGAUGACCUACCGCCAGCACCGCGACGCCGAGGAGGCGCUGGACAGCUUUGGCGGUGCGCCCCUGGACAACAGCGCUGACGACGCGGACGCCGACGGCCCUGGGGACUCGGGUGACGGCGAGGACGAGCUGGAGAUGACCAAGCGACUGGCGCUCAGUGACUCCCCAGAUGGCCGGCCUGGCGGCUUCUGGCGUCGCUGGCAGCCGCGCAUCUGGGCGCUGUUCGAGGACCCCUACUCAUCUCGCUAUGCGCGGUAUGUGGCCUUUGCCUCCCUCUUCUUCAUCCUGGUCUCCAUCACCACCUUCUGCUUGGAGACCCACGAGCGCUUCAACCCAAUCGUGAACAAGACAGAGAUCGAGAAUGUUCGGAAUGGCACGCAAGUGCGCUACUACCGCGAAGCGGAGACUGAGGCCUUCCUCACCUACAUAGAGGGUGUCUGUGUGGUCUGGUUUACCUUCGAGUUCCUCAUGCGUGUUGUCUUCUGCCCCAACAAGGUGGAGUUUAUCAAGAACUCACUCAACAUCAUUGACUUCGUGGCCAUCCUCCCCUUCUACCUGGAGGUGGGCCUCAGCGGCCUGUCCUCUAAGGCUGCCAAGGAUGUCCUGGGCUUCCUGAGGGUCGUGCGCUUCGUGCGGAUCCUGCGCAUCUUCAAGCUGACCCGCCACUUUGUGGGCCUGCGGGUCCUGGGCCACACACUCCGUGCCAGCACCAAUGAGUUCCUGCUGCUUAUCAUCUUCCUGGCCCUGGGCGUGCUCAUCUUUGCCACCAUGAUCUACUACGCCGAGAGGAUAGGGGCCCAGCCCAACGACCCCAGCGCCAGCGAGCACACGCACUUUAAGAACAUCCCCAUUGGCUUCUGGUGGGCUGUGGUCACCAUGACGACACUGGGCUAUGGAGACAUGUACCCGCAGACGUGGUCCGGUAUGUUGGUGGGAGCACUGUGUGCGCUGGCAGGUGUGUUGACCAUCGCCAUGCCCGUGCCUGUCAUCGUGAACAAUUUCGGGAUGUACUACUCCUUAGCCAUGGCUAAGCAGAAACUACCAAAGAAAAAAAAGAAGCAUAUUCCUCGGCCACCGCAGCUGGGAUCUCCCAAUUAUUGUAAAUCUGUCGUAAACUCUCCACACCACAGUACUCAGAGUGACACAUGUCCGCUGGCCCAGGAAGAAAUUUUAGAAAUUAACAGAGCAGGUAGGAAACCUCUUAGAGGCAUGUCGAUCUGACCUUUCACCUCUGCACCCUGUAGCGAUGAUUCCAGAUUCAGUCAGACUGCUUCCUUAGUUCUGUGGGGCAACCCUGGUCCCUGCUCUCAAUCUUGAGGUGUGGAGCCUGGGGGCCCAGGGAGAUGCUGGGUGGCCAAAUUCAGAGCUUGCUAGUGGAACCUCACUGGUGCCCUGGGUAAGGAGGUUGACGUGGUUGGUCUCUUCAAGUUCUAAAGAGACCAAACCAACAGCGCCAGGUUGCUGAGGACUCUUAGCAGGAGCCCAGAGGCUACUGAGUCAUGGGAAGGAGUCAUGUCUAAGUCUCUUGACUCAGGCGACUGACCCAGUGUUGGGCAGGGAGGGAAUGGGUGUGAUUCGGAGUCUCCAGUCAGCCUUUGGUCUUUAACAUGGCUCCCUUUGGGCUGUGAGGGCAGUAGUGAUGCAUGGGAUCCAGGCAUCAGGGUGUCUGCAAAGGCAGUAGCCAGGAUUCUCAGCCCUAGCACAGCCUGUCUCCACAGCUGAGCAGAAGGUAGCCAUGAUGCUGGCUGCCUAGCUCCAGGUCCUUCCUAGGAGUUGCCCCUAGCCUUCCGUGAAAAGCUUACUUCCCUGCAGCAUGCCAAACCAACUCAUCCUCUACCACCACCCUAGAGUUUAGCAUUUAUCUUUAGGAACCUGUUGGAGUGACUCUGGCUUUCACGUUGUCUGUUGGGUUGAUGGUCCAGUGGGAGUUUCUGGUGACCUUCUGAUGGAAGUGGCUGGUGAGCGGAGGACUAGAGGGGCCACACCCUGGGCAGCCUAGAUGAGCGUAUACAGACCAACAACAACCUCCCACUGCUGAGAGUUGUCUCUAUGUCUGGCAGUAGGGAGUGCAGCAGCGAUACAAGACAUCCCAACCACUUACCCACGAGGUCACUGGGGGCCAGGGAGCAGGGAGGGGGCCAUGAAACAAUACUAGUCACUGUGGGAUAUAUUCUCAUAUUCCAUGGCUAGUGGUUUGUUAUGGGACUAUCUCAGUUUUAUGAGAUCUUGCACAUAGCACAUAAAGUUGAUCAUGGGGCUCUGGUCCGAAGAUGAAAACCCACAGUCUACCUCUACCCAUGGAAUCCCAUUGACUUACUCUGAGGACACAGGGAUCUCCAAGGAACAGAUGACCCAGAGAAGAAUGACAACACUAAGCUAAGUAGUACUGGGUGAGCAUGAGGUUGAUGCAAGCUUGGAUCUAUUUAGUCUAUAAAGGAUGCCUCGUGCUUGUGUCUGGCAGGGGCCUGCAGGCUUGCCCAACUCCAGGUGAGGAAGUCUCCCUUUGGCUUGGGUGGCCUCCCUCUGUGGAUGAUAGAUGUUCUCUGCUGGUGUGCUGUCUGACCCACCUCCCUAUCCCAACCCCUUCAUUCCACAGCGGACCAGCCUGAUCAGUGUCCCAAGGUCCAUUUCUUACCUUCAGGACAUUCCGUGCCCUCCCCUUCCUGGGAUUCCUGAUUGGUGUUCCCAGCAUGGAGUCCCAAGUCAGCCUAUUGAUGCUCCCCAACUUACUCCAGGCACAGGUUUUUCUCAGUGCCCAGAUGCAUGCAUGCGCGCGCGUGUGCGUGUGCGCGCGCGCGCGCGCGCACACACACACACACACACACACACACACACACACACACACACACACACACACACCUAGCUAGUCCCAGGGACAUCAACCCUCCUUCCAUCUUGCAUCAGGCCUACAGAGCCUGUGUAUCCCUCUGGGAUUUACCCUGGGUUCCCCAGCCCCACCCAGCCUUGGCACCUCUGCCCCAGUGAGACAACUUGCCCUGGCUUUAAGUCUCAAGGACCCAGAGAGUCUGGUUUGGGCAGUCUUAUGACUUGCUGUCUGGAACCUGAGUGUCCUCCCUCUCCCCUCCUCCACCUGUUCUGUUCCCUUCUCCUUUGAUUGCCAUGUUGGUGUGGUCCUGAUUUUCAGACCACCCUCUGGGCUCUAAGACUGAGUCUCACCCUGAGCCUCAUCCCUCACUAGAACACGGCUCACCCCAAGUGCUGGAGUGUGAGUCCAAGGGGCCCAGGUUUUCUAGGAGAUAUCUUCACUCAUGCCUACACCACUGGUUCCCUUCCCAUUCAACUCCUUUUCUGCUCAGUUAUGUGCCUGGACGGACAUGGGGCAGAGGUGAGUCUGUAAGAAAAUGAGGGAAAAGCCAGAGGCUAGAAAGGCAGAUGUGGUAGGUAGAGACCAGACCCCAUGGGAAUGUGGGAGACAACAUUGCGGUCUCCCAAGGUCCUUCAGCAGAGGCUGUUAAACAGAUUCCCAAGCUAGGGGUAUCUCUAGUUCUACUAAAACCUGAGUUAAGGACUGAGCUAGGAUGCUGGGCCCUGCACUGAGGCCAGAUUUCCCAGCUGUGCAAGUGACUCUCCCGGUCCUACUCCCUCCACCUCUUGGUCACUGCUGAAACCAUUCUGUGUGGAAACCAGUCUGUGUGUCUGUCCCAAGAAUGUUGUGAUCUCCUCUUUGGGGCUUGAAUGGCCUCAGUCUUUGGGGGUCUGGUCUUGAUGGGCUGUCAAGGGUCUAGGUCUCACUUGGGUGUGAGACCAGAUGGCAGAGGCAGGAACUCCCUGGGGUUGAUGGCCAAGAGAAGCUGCCUUCCUCCUGGAGGGGGCUUCCGCCUCAUCCACAGUGGGCUAACCACCUGCUCUGGGCUGCUCCAAGUUCCCUCUGUCGUGCUGUGUCCAUUCUCGUGUCUUAUCCAUCUCUGCUCCUGUGAUGCGGGUCAGUCCCUCGUGGCAUGGGGUCCAGGGCUACAGGGUCCCAGGGUCAAUGAUAAAGAGGAAUGUAGGUGGGGUGGCUUGGCUCCCUUCUGUGGGCACACAGAGCAGCAGUGAGGGCCCAGAGGAGCCCCCAUCUGGGCCUCCUAGGAGCUGCCAAGAAGCCUCAGGGUGGUCUUGGGAAGAGGGGUUUCUCCCUUGAGUAGCAGAAUCCAAAGUCUCUCAUCCCUGGGCCCUCCAGAUGUCCUCCGCUGGGCUGCUGUGGCUACAAGUGGUGCCAGUGGGGUAGGGAGAAUAGUGUGAUUGGGGACAGAAUUGAUGGGGCAGGAUGCAAGGCUGCAGAAUGUACUAGAACCCAAUGGUAGGGCUGGCAGCCUGGACCCUGAGUGGUGGAGUCCUAGCUGCCUGCGUGAAUGAAGCAGUUGGAGAAAUCAGCUACCUGUGAGGGCCAGGCCUGGGUGUUCUCCGUGUUGUUCACAUUCUCUCUCUCCCUCUCCACUAAUCCUCUCUCUCUCUCUCUCUCUCUCUCUCUCUCUCUCUCUCCCCGUCUCUCGUUUUGUUGCAUGAUUGUGCUGGUUCCCAUGACUGUUGUCUCUCACAGCCUGUCCCCCUUUAGCGCAGGAUGUUUUCCCCUGAGUCCCCAGCUGGGCAGACCCCUCAGAGGUAAACUGAAGGGAAUGCGCAGUCAACUAACCCCAGUCCAGCCCUGCGUGCGCCCGGUGGCGCCCGCUGCUGGUAUGAACAGUAAGUACAUCGGAGUGUCUGGAGAUGGCAGGAAAGCCAGCCUGCUGACUGACAGAGGGGCCCGUUCAUCGUGUUCGCUCUCCUUGCUCCAAAGUUUAAAAAAAAUGACCCUCUCGCAGACUCCCAUCUCAAUCCAUUUCAAAGCCUGGAAACCAUCUCUGAGAUGCUGCCCGUGCUGCCAUUUCAUCAUCACAAGCCUGUUGGGUUAGUGGUGGCCUGGGGCCCUAGGCCAGAGGAGGUGGGCUCAGCCCUCUAAACGCAAGUGGGAACCUAGGUUCUAAGCUGCCUUACAUCCCAGGAGAGCAGGCAGGUGGGGACUCUGGGAUCUUUCAUCUGUUGCCUUUCUUAUGUCUCCCCGAAUGUAGAAAGUUGGCCCCUUUGUUUUUUUUCUCUCUCUCUUCUGGUCAUCCCCACUGGAUGGGAGAUGGAAUUGGAGACAGGAAGUGAAUGACCCAAGUUCCUGAGAGCAGCUUCAAACUGCAGAUAAACCAUCAGCCACCCAGUCACAGACCUUUCCUCAAAGGUCAAUGUUGAGAAAGGAAGUGGGCCGCAGACAUCCUGGAAACCCCCACCCCCAAUCCUGCCCUCCAAGAUCCCAGGUGUCUGCUCCUUGCCCCUGGCCCCCCAGAAAGACCACUCCACCUUUAUGUCCUUUACAGUUCCAGAGGGGAGACCCAGGGGCAGGGAGCUUCUGGGCAGAGCCUGUGGGUGGUGAUUCUGCCCUCAGCACCAGAGGAGGGAUCACAGGCUGUACUGUCUCCUGGAAGGCAGAGGCAGAGAGGGGCAGUCACUACUUGACCCCUCCUUUGGACAAGAACAGCAGGCCAAUGACACCCACCAAAAAAGAGCAAGUCUCUCUUCACCUGGAGGGGACCCGCCUGGAGGAAAAGUCAUGCAGGGCACAUGGACCCCAGCUUCCAUUCCCUUCCCCUCCUUCAGCACCUUACCGCCUCCCCCAUCUCCCAGCACCCUCCUCUCAGUCAGAGAUCCUCCGGGAGGGAGAUGAGGACCAGCUGGAAUGCAAGGCAGGACUUGCAUGUCUGUGGGCACAUAUGUAUGCCCCACAUGCUAGGCAGUCCCUGGUCCAUCACAUGGUGUCAGAGUUUCCCCAGUCACUGGCCUUUCUGCUUUGGAGUCAAUCAGGAGCAGAGGCCCUGGGAUCUUCAAGGAACACACCGUAUGUGAAAUGCUUUGCCAUCUUGUACAACAGACUUUUUUUAAGUUCCAAAAUUAUGAUGGGAAUUUUUUUUUUGGAUUUGCUUUACGAAUAAAUCUGAUUGGUCCAUUUCUCUUUUGACUGACUGCCUCUUUGUAGUGACAUGAUAAUGUACACAGGUGGAGAUCCUUCUCCUGUGCACACUGAGCGUGUGCAAGUAGGGAAGGAUCACUCCUGUGUGUAGUUACAUGAUGUGAACAAGAUCAUGGGAGAAGGUCAGAGCGGGACUUUUCCCUAGCUUGCUUUCAGAGAGCCUCCCCUAACAUGGUCACCAUGUUGGUUUCCUUCUCUCACCACAGGGCUUUUGCCCAAGGCCCCUACUCUAGUGGCAGCAUUGGGUGGGCUUCAUCCUGCCCAGGAAGAUUCUGCUCUGAGGGCAGAGAGUGAGGGGCAAGCUCAGUCCCCCAGGGUGACAGAGGUGGGUGGCAAAGUCAGUCAGAGCCACGUCUGCCAGAAAAGCUCCAAGGCUUUGUCUUGGGAGUAGGGAGAGCCAGGGAACAUGGCUCUGGCCACAUUUGGUCCCCCCACCAUACCUGCCCCACCCCCCGGCCUCCUCCCAGGUUCCUUAUCAGGCUACUACAGAAGCCAAGACUCGAGCUUUCCCCACCCAAGGCCAUCAGUUGCUGCUGUCUUCUACACAUCCAUUUGCUCUGCUUUGCCCGGGAUGCUAGCAGAAGGGACAGGAAUGGGAGUCCCUCCCCACAUCCCUGUCCAGCCAUCACAGCCUCAUGCAUAUGCAUACAUCCUUGUGAAAGCUGACCAGGCCCCCUGGAGUGGUUCAGGGAGACACUGCUUGAUGUGGGUGGGUGGCGGUGUGGGUCUGCAUGGGGACAGAGCAGAUGCAGGUGGAGUGGUCUAAUUGGGUCUGUGGGAGCACAGGGGAAACUGUGCCCAGGCCUAGUCUGCAUGGAUGGUGGGGCAGAUCAAUCAGAUUGGGAUCCUAUGGGAACAAUGAAAUGUGUGACCAGACCUAGUCUGUACAAGUGAUAGGGAACCUGGAGGACCAGGUAGAGUCCUUAUGGAGAUAGUGUGGAAGUUGUGACCAGCCCUCAUCUUUGUGUGGGACAGUUUCAGAGGGACCUGAUUGUGUGCUUUUAGGAGCAGCUUAGAAAAUGUGACCAAGACUAGUUUGUGUGGGGGACAGAGUUUCAGAGGGACCUGAUUAUAUCCCUGUGGGAACAGUAUAGAAGGUGCGAUCAGGCUUAGUCUAUAUAGGGGACAGUGUCAGAGGGACCAGAUUGGGUAGGAUAGACAAGAAGUGUGGCUAGGUCUAGUCUCUGUGGGGGACAAUGUGGUCAAAUUGCAGGGGACAGCAUGAAAUGUGUGCCCAUGCAUAAUCUGAACAGGGAAUGGGGAGUCAGAGCGACUAGACUAUGUUCCUAUGGGUACAGAAUAGAAGGUAUGAUCAGGCCUAGUCUGUAUGAGACAAAGUCAUAGACAUACCAGAUUUGGUCUUUGUGGGGACAGAGCAGAAGGUGUGCCCAGUCCUGGGGCAUCUGAAUGGCCAGGUUGGGUCUACAUGGAGUGGUGGGGGCAAGCUGAGUAAUCAGUUAUAGGGAUUGAGGAACAGGAACAAAUGAUGGAAUGGGACCUGCAUGGGAAGGAACAGAGGAGAUCAGAUGGGGUCUGGCUGGGCCUAGGGCAGCUGAACCACUGGCUGAUGUCACCUGGAGGCAGCCAGGCUCUGGUCAGCAGCAGAGGUGUCUGAAAGACCACCUCUCUGGACUGGAGUCCUUCUGAGUGUCUGUCUGUCUUCUCCCUCAGCUCUGUGUCUGGUCUCUCCCCAUGAAUGCAUCAUACCAUUCUGUGUCAUUGGCCCUGCCUCGGGUCCUGGGCCUGGCUCCCAGCACCACAUGCCAGGCCCAUCAUCAACUCAUCUUUUUGCAAACUUUGAGCAAACCCAGGAGCCUCUUUCCCUACACUGUGGGCAGCCAUGCUGUCUGAAUGAGCUGAACCCCCUACUAGCCCCCACCCCUUCUCCAUGGUUCAUCCACUUUUCCAUCCUCAGGAACCGGAAGCCCUGUGUCAAAUGCCCAUUCUCUGGCUUGUCCCCCCCCACUAAACAGUUUUCGGUGUCUCAAUAGCUUCUGCUUAUAUGUUUGAAGAUUCCAAACUGAAUGGGGAGGUGGCGAAGGCCGCGCUGGCGAACGAAGACUGCCCCCACAUAGACCAGGCCCUCACUCCCGAUGAGGGCCUGCCCUUUACCCGCUCGGGCACCCGCGAGAGAUACGGACCCUGCUUCCUCUUAUCAACUGGGGAAUACGCGUGCCCACCUGGUGGAGUGAGAAAGGAUCUUUGCAAAGAAAGCCCUGUCAUUGCUAAGUAUAUGCCGACAGAGGCUGUGAGAGUGACUUGACCAGGCGGCUUGGCCGAGGACACUGGUGGCUAUUAAGCAUCUGGGUGGACCUGCAACCCCUCCUCACCCUCGGACAGAGUAAAUUCACGCCAUGCAGGUUUGCCGGACGAGUCCGAGUGGCCCAGGCAUUGUUCUAGGACGGACGUAGUUUUAUCUACGGCCAAUGGUAACUGACCGUAGAGGAUUGCUCUUCCUUCUUCUCAUUUUUUUAAAAGUUAUCUUUUAUUUGGGGAGGGGGGUGGAGGGGAUCUUUAGCAUGACUUGCAUGAAGUUAAACAGAAAACCCAGCUAAUCCAAACCUACCAACCCCCCUGCAACUGUAUGAUUGAUUACCCUGACCACCACGAAGAACAGAAGGAAAAAGCAAAAGUCCUUCAUUUUCUUUCAGACCUCUUAACUUUUACACACGUGGUUGGAGCCAAACUGUAAUGGCACUCGGUAGAAACCUGUAUACUUCUGGGAGUGGGGCAGGGGGGAGGAAGGAUGGGGCCAGGGAAUGGAUUGCUUCCCUUUUUGUAUACAAGAUCCAGAGGAAAGGUUUCAAAAAGGGCAGUUGGUCAGUCAUCGGUCAUAUUGACCUCGCCUUCAUAGCUCAUCUCUCAUGCGGAAACUGAGAACUUUGCUCCAAAUAGGAUUGUGGAAACUCGUACUGCUGCCUUCUUCCGUCUCUGCCUGGCAUGCUUGUGACCCAGCGGAUGCCUCCCCAAGAACCCCCGGCAGCAGCUAGUUUAGGUUGAUUCUCUCAUCUUAUCGGUGUGUAGAUCCAGUGUGACCAAGUUUCAUAACAAAUUGUUCAUAAUCAGCACCGUAUGGAUUUUCCAAUGUCAUUUUAAAACCAGGAUGUAGAGCACCUCAAGUUCAGGACCACAGGAGGGGUGCCUCCCCUCCACCUCUACUAAGGCACAACUUGGCAUUGUACACAAUUUAGUACUUCAGAGUAAAAACUGCAUGCCCAAUGUUAUGCAAAGAGAUUCGAGCAUGAAAUAAAUUUUGUAUCAUGGUUUCUGUCUAGUCUAAAGCAGAUUUGUUUUCCUGAAGCAAUCGGAGGUUUGCAGAGACACGCUUCUGCAUCUUGAAUAAAUAUAGUAUUUUCCCAACAGAAA